UGUAAUAUGUUGAUGUGCACAAGCCUAUUUUUAUCUAACAGGACAAAUAUACUUGGGUUUUCUCCAUCAAACCAACACAGUAUUUCCAUGUCAGAGGGGCAUUAUAUCCUCGCAGUUUGUACCAGCCAGUGCAUAAGGAAUGAUGCUAUUAAUUCUCUUGGGCAAUCUUCAGGUCUGAUUAUUGGUGAAAUAAAUUUGCAUGCUGAAUAUGAGAAUCUUAUUAAUGCUGACGUCAAGAAAGGUUGGUAAUGGAUAUUUCAGAGGGAAAGAACAUGUGCCCACGUGUGCUAAAGUCAGCCUGAACUGGUUCUCUGGUCUGUUCAGUUCAAGUGGAAGAACUAAAAGAUUUCUAGCAUGAGCUGAGACUGUAAGACUCUACACAUCCCAGUUGGAUGAUAGAAUUAUAGCCAGAUCUUCAUCAACCUGUGUUAUAGCCUGCCACUUGAAGAUGAAUGGAAGCAACCGAGAGAGCUUGCAUCUUUGGAUUUUCCUCUCUGUGCAUGUGGUAAUGCCUUACUCCACUGCUCCACUCUGUCUGAAACUAAAUGUGCAAAAGCAUUAUUCUUUUGUUAGACUUUUGCUCCCUCCAUAUAACAGUUAUUGAUUUAAAUGCUAGAAUUGUUCAUCACUUGAAAACGCCUGGUCUCAGAAUUUUAUCAUCCAAGCCACUAGAUGGUAGCUAACUCAGACAAAAAAAAACACUUAGCCUGUGUUUGUCUCACUUAAAUUACCAGUUAAUCAGAAAGCAGCACUAAUAGUUCUUCCAGAGAAGUCUGCAACCAAAAUCAUUUUUUCUUUUCUAGAUUAAAAAUGAAUCCCUUGCUACUUUAAAAGAUGAAGGUGAACAAUGGUAGGACGUGAAAGCAAAUCUCUCAAUCAUAAUUUUAAAACAACAGGAGUUAAGGAUAAAAACACUUAAAAAAGGGAUUGCUCAGCAUUUGCUGUCUUGAUUGUAUUUUGUUGUUUUACCUGCCACUCUUUGUAGUUCAGCAGUGCAACACAUGUGGCACUGCACAAAUAUACAAACAACUCCAAAUAAUGGCAAUCCUGUGGUUUCAAAUUCCUUACAAAAUGUAAUUUUUUGUCAAUUGUGUAAUAUUUGUGAACAAAAUAAAUGUAAUUAAUUCACAAAAAAAUGAGAUGCAUAAUAAAGCAUUUUUACAUUAUGAAAUGAAACACUCGGAAACUUGUCAUAGUCUGGUCAAAACAGCUGCAACGCAAGUAGUAAAUAAUAUGGGUUCUCUCCAACAGUUUGUGGGAUUAAUAGGUUGCUACUGAACAGGUAUAAAACUUAUCAUCUUUGGUUUAUUUAUCUUCAGUAAAAGAAGGCCCAUCAAUCUAAAAAUGCCUUCAAAUAGUAGCAACUACACCGCAGGCAAUACAUUUAACAUGACCUUGGUCACUGCCAGCUGGCCAAGCUCUUUAGAAGGGCAUGUUCCUUGCACUGUCCUCUUUAUCUUCACAUUCCAAUGAUAGAGACACACAUCUGGUUGCUGAGACCCAAGAGGGGAAACUGCGAAUGGGCAGAAAGUAUUUUUAUCUGUAACCAGAGAUGGUCACUUUAUUAAGCAAGUCAGUCAGAAAAGUCAAGGACUCUGUCAGUUGUGUCUAACAGUAUGACAUGUCUGGACUAAGCAGACACAUUCAUUCUGACCCAGCUAGAAAUUCUUCCCCACUAUUAGACAGGCAGAACUGUAAAUUGGCAAGUGAUGUACUGACCUGUGUUAAGGACAUGUUGAUACUAGCCUGUUAUGACAGCUUUUAGCUCCAAAGAAAAUAGCUUUGUCUUCUGUUGUAUACUAUUUCAUCAGUGUUGAUCUAUCUAUGAUUAUGUAUGUGUUACUUGAGUUUGCGACACAUAUGUGCAGGGCUGAGGAACCUGUUCAUGCAUUGCUUCUUUUCCAUUAAACAGGAUUUUCUGGUUCC
This is a non-coding RNA of Chiloscyllium plagiosum (whitespotted bambooshark), 1926 nucleotides long. The record is from RefSeq and is a predicted model, not a curated record. Lineage: Eukaryota; Metazoa; Chordata; Chondrichthyes; Orectolobiformes; Hemiscylliidae.